GUGUCAGCCGCCGCGGUAAUACAGAGGUGGCAAGCGUUGCUCGGUGUCACUGGGCUUAAAGGGUGCGUAGGCGGCAUGGUACGGCUCGGGUGAAAUCCCUCGGCCCAACCGAGGAAUUGCAAGGGCGACGGCCAUGCUUGGCUGCAUCAGGGGAAGAUGGAACUCCCGGUGGAGCGGUGAAAUGCGUAGAUAUCGGGAGGAACGCCGGUGGCGAAAGCGAUCUUCUGGGGUGCAAGCGACGCUGAGGCACGAAAGCUAGGGGAGCAAACGGGAUUAGAUACCCCCGUAGUCC
This 292-nucleotide ribosomal RNA is filed under the name uncultured bacterium. RNAcentral describes it as "partial 16S ribosomal RNA". It matches the Rfam family "Bacterial small subunit ribosomal RNA", at positions 505 to 796 of the family's 1533-position model. The record is from RNAcentral.